UUGACCUCAAAUCAGGUAGGACCACCCGCUGAACUUAAGCAUAUCAAUAAGCGGAGGAAAAGAAACUAACAAGGAUUCCCUUAGUAACUGCGAGUGAAGAGGGAAAAGCUCAAAUUUGUAAUCUGGCGGUCUUUGGCUGUCCGAGUUGUAAUCUAGAGAAGUGCUACCUGCGCUGGACCAUGUACAAGUCUCCUGGAAUGGAGCAUCAUAGAGGGUGAGAAUCCCGUCUUUGACAUGGACUGCCAGAGCUUAUAGGUGCGCUCUCGAAGAGUCGAGUUGUUUGGGAAUGCAGCUCAAAAUGGGUGGUAAAUGCCAUCUAAAGCUAAAUAUUGGCGAGAGACCGAUAGCGAACAAGUACCGUGAGGGAAAGAUGAAAAGAACUUUGGAAAGAGAGUUAAACAGUACGUGAAAUUGCUGAAAGGGAAACGCUUGAAGUCAGUCGCAUCAGUUGGAAAUCAACCUUGCUUUUGCUGGGUGUACUUUCCGUCYGAUGGGUCAGCAUCAAUUUUGAUUGCUGGAUAAAGUUCUUGGGAACGUGGCAUCUUUGGAUGUGUUAUAGCCCUUGGACAUAUACAGUGGUUGGGAUUGAGGAACUCAGCACGCCGCAAGGCUGGGGCUUUGUCCACAACACGUGCUUAGGAUGCUGGCAUAAUGGCUUUAAUCGACCCGUC
RNAcentral lists this ribosomal RNA (671 nucleotides) under Inosperma calamistratum. RNAcentral's name for it is "partial 28S ribosomal RNA". It matches the Rfam family "Eukaryotic large subunit ribosomal RNA", at positions 1 to 653 of the family's 3401-position model. The record is from RNAcentral. Lineage: Eukaryota; Fungi; Basidiomycota; Agaricomycetes; Agaricales; Inocybaceae.